UUAAGUGACUAAGCGUACACGGUGGAUGCCCUGGCAGUCAGAGGCGAUGAAGGACGUGCUAAUCUGCGAAAAGCGUCGGUAAGGUGAUAUGAACCGUUAUAACCGGCGAUGUCCGAAUGGGGAAACCCAGUGCAAUUCGUUGCACUAUCGUUAACUGAAUACAUAGGUUAACGAGGCGAACCGGGGGAACUGAAACAUCUAAGUACCCCGAGGAAAAGAAAUCAACCGAGAUUCCCCCAGUAGCGGCGAGCGAACGGGGAGCAGCCCAGAGUCUGAAUCAGCUUGUGUGUUAGUGGAACGGUCUGGAAAGUCCGACGGUACAGGGUGAUAGUCCCGUACACCAAAAUGCACAGGCUGUGAACUCGAAGAGUAGGGCGGGACACGUGGUAUCCUGUCUGAAUAUGGGGGGACCAUCCUCCAAGGCUAAAUACUCCUGACUGACCGAUAGUGAACCAGUACCGUGAGGGAAAGGCGAAAAGAACCCCGGCGAGGGGAGUGAAAAAGAACCUGAAACCGUGUACGUACAAGCAGUGGGAGCACCUUCGGGUGUGACUGCGUACCUUUUGUAUAAUGGGUCAGCGACUUAUAUUCUGUAGCAAGGUUAACCGUAUAGGGGAGCCGCAGGGAAACCGAGUCUUAACUGGGCGUUAAGUUGCAGGGUAUAGACCCGAAACCCGGUGAUCUAGCCAUGGGCAGGUUGAAGGUUGGGUAACACUAACUGGAGGACCGAACCGACUAAUGUUGAAAAAUUAGCGGAUGACUUGUGGCUGGGGGUGAAAGGCCAAUCAAACCGGGAGAUAGCUGGUUCUCCCCGAAAGCUAUUUAGGUAGCGCCUCGUGAACUCAUCUUCGGGGGUAGAGCACUGUUUCGGCUAGGGGGUCAUCCCGACUUACCAACCCGAUGCAAACUACGAAUACCGAAGAAUGUUAUCACGGGAGACACACGGCGGGUGCUAACGUCCGUCGUGAAGAGGGAAACAACCCAGACCGCCAGCUAAGGUCCCAAAGUCAUGGUUAAGUGGGAAACGAUGUGGGAAGGCACAGACAGCCAGGAUGUUGGCUUAGAAGCAGCCAUCAUUUAAAGAAAGCGUAAUAGCUCACUGGUCGAGUCGGCCUGCGCGGAAGAUGUAACGGGGCUAAACCAUGCACCGAAGCUGCGGCAGCGACACUAUGUGUUGUUGGGUAGGGGAGCGUUCUGUAAGCCUGCGAAGGUGUGCUGUGAGGCAUGCUGGAGGUAUCAGAAGUGCGAAUGCUGACAUAAGUAACGAUAAAGCGGGUGAAAAGCCCGCUCGCCGGAAGACCAAGGGUUCCUGUCCAACGUUAAUCGGGGCAGGGUGAGUCGACCCCUAAGGCGAGGCCGAAAGGCGUAGUCGAUGGGAAACAGGUUAAUAUUCCUGUACUUGGUGUUACUGCGAAGGGGGGACGGAGAAGGCUAUGUUAGCCGGGCGACGGUUGUCCCGGUUUAAGCAUGUAGGCUGGUUGUCCAGGCAAAUCCGGAUAAUCAAGGCUGAGGUGUGAUGACGAGGCACUACGGUGCUGAAGUAACAAAUGCCCUGCUUCCAGGAAAAGCCUCUAAGCAUCAGGUAACAUCAAAUCGUACCCCAAACCGACACAGGUGGUCAGGUAGAGAAUACCAAGGCGCUUGAGAGAACUCGGGUGAAGGAACUAGGCAAAAUGGUGCCGUAACUUCGGGAGAAGGCACGCUGGUGUGUAGGUGAAGUCCCUGCGGAUGGAGCUGAGACCAGUCGAAGAUACCAGCUGGCUGCAACUGUUUAUUAAAAACACAGCACUGUGCAAACACGAAAGUGGACGUAUACGGUGUGACGCCUGCCCGGUGCCGGAAGGUUAAUUGAUGGGGUUAUCCGUAAGGAGAAGCUCUUGAUCGAAGCCCCGGUAAACGGCGGCCGUAACUAUAACGGUCCUAAGGUAGCGAAAUUCCUUGUCGGGUAAGUUCCGACCUGCACGAAUGGCGUAAUGAUGGCCAGGCUGUCUCCACCCGAGACUCAGUGAAAUUGAACUCGCUGUGAAGAUGCAGUGUACCCGCGGCAAGACGGAAAGACCCCGUGAACCUUUACUAUAGCUUGACACUGAACAUUGAGCCUUGAUGUGUAGGAUAGGUGGGAGGCUUUGAAGCGUGGACGCCAGUCUGCGUGGAGCCAACCUUGAAAUACCACCCUUUAAUGUUUGAUGUUCUAACGUUGGCCCCUGACCGGGGUUGCGGACAGUGUCUGGUGGGUAGUUUGACUGGGGCGGUCUCCUCCCAAAGCGUAACGGAGGAGCACGAAGGUUAGCUAAUCCUGGUCGGACAUCAGGAGGUUAGUGCAAUGGCAUAAGCUAGCUUGACUGCGAGCGUGACGGCGCGAGCAGGUGCGAAAGCAGGUCAUAGUGAUCCGGUGGUUCUGAAUGGAAGGGCCAUCGCUCAACGGAUAAAAGGUACUCCGGGGAUAACAGGCUGAUACCGCCCAAGAGUUCAUAUCGACGGCGGUGUUUGGCACCUCGAUGUCGGCUCAUCACAUCCUGGGGCUGAAGUAGGUCCCAAGGGUAUGGCUGUUCGCCAUUUAAAGUGGUACGCGAGCUGGGUUUAGAACGUCGUGAGACAGUUCGGUCCCUAUCUGCCGUGGGCGCUGGAGAAUUGAGGGGGGCUGCUCCUAGUACGAGAGGACCGGAGUGGACGCAUCACUGGUGUUCGGGUUGUCAUGCCAAUGGCACUGCCCGGUAGCUAAAUGCGGAAGAGAUAAGUGCUGAAAGCAUCUAAGCACGAAACUUGCCCCGAGAUGAGUUCUCCCUGAGACUUUAAGUCUCCUGAAGGAACGUUGAAGACGACGACGUUGAUAGGCCGGGUGUGUAAGCGCAGCGAUGCGUUGAGCUAACCGGUACUAAUGAACCGUGAGGCUUAACCUU
RNAcentral lists this ribosomal RNA (2900 nucleotides) under Klebsiella pneumoniae. RNAcentral's name for it is "bacterial LSU rRNA". It matches the Rfam family "Bacterial large subunit ribosomal RNA". The record is from RNAcentral. Lineage: Bacteria; Pseudomonadati; Pseudomonadota; Gammaproteobacteria; Enterobacterales; Enterobacteriaceae.